This 969-nucleotide ribosomal RNA is filed under the name Triticum aestivum (bread wheat). Its description in RNAcentral is "partial small subunit ribosomal RNA". Lineage: Eukaryota; Viridiplantae; Streptophyta; Magnoliopsida; Poales; Poaceae. The record is from RNAcentral.
CAGGUGGGAGUGGUUUUGAAACUUGACUUUGAAAAAGCAUAUGACAAAGUCAAUUGGGACUUUUUGCUUGACUGUCAUAGGAAACGUGGGUUUAAUUCUAAGUGGUGUGGGUGGGUCUCGCAAAUACUGAAGAAUGGCACAGUUAGUGUCAAGAUCAAUGAUGAAGUGGGACCUUACAUCCAAAGUGCUAAGGGGGUGAGGCAGGGGGAUCCUCACUCCCCUUUCCUGUUUAAUAUUGCGGCUGACUGUCUGACCAAAAUGGUACUUACAGCACAAAAAAAUGGCCUCAUUAAAGGUUUAGCUGCUGAUCUUAUUGAGAAUGGGGUUUGCAUCCUGCAAUACGCGGAUGACACAGUACUUUGUUUUGAGCAUGAUAUUGACAAAGCUGUGAAUAUCAAGCUCUUGCUUUAUCUCUUCGAACUUAUGUCUGGGCUUAAGAUCAAUUUUGAGAAGAGUGAAAUAUUUAGUAUCGGGGGGGAUAAUGAUACUGAUUUGGUGUAUGCCAACAUGUUUGGGUGUCAAGUGGGCACACUUCCCAUGAAAUAUCUGGGAGUCCCUGUUACUUAUUCUACCCUCAAGAAUGCGGAUCUAGAUUUCCUUGACGGAAAAAUAAUCAAAAAACUUGAUGCCUGGGUAGCAUAUGCAGCAUCUUCUGGAGCUAGACUAACGUUGCUAGGGUCCAGUUUGGAUGGAAUUCCCUCUUUCCUCAUGUCAAUGUUCCUUUUUAAUAAGACCUUUAUUGAGAAGCUGGAUAAACAUCGCAGACGUUUCUUUUGGAGGAGGAAAAAUAAGAAACAUGGAUACCAUAUGGUUAAGUGGACGAGGAUAUGUCGAUCGAAAAGGAUUGGGGGAUUAGGGAUUAAAGAUCUUCAUAAACAAAAUAUUGCCCUACUUGUUAAGUGGUGGUGGAAGUUAGAAACAAGUGAUGGGCUAUGGCAGCGUAUUGUAAGAGCUAGAUACUUCAGGAAC